This is an RNA transcript of Etheostoma cragini (Arkansas darter), 2666 nucleotides long. It is a transcript of the gene named RNA binding fox-1 homolog 2, with no coding region annotated. The transcript has 14 exons. The record is from RefSeq and is a predicted model, not a curated record. NCBI's taxonomy places the organism in Eukaryota, Metazoa, Chordata, Actinopteri, Perciformes, Percidae.
GAAGCACUGCGGCACACUGCGUGUAUUUUGCAGGCUGCAUGUCUGCCUGGCUCAGCGCUCAAAGAGAGCGGAAGAUAGGAGGAGGGGAAUGACUCCACCAAGAGAGUAGGAGGAGGGAGGGAGGGAGGACAGUUUCCUUUUUGUAACACACACGCUACAAGAUCACACCGGGAAAACGGAGAGAGGAAAGAAAAUUAUAGGCGAGAGAGAGAGAGAGAGAGAGAGGGGGGAAGGAAACACCGCAGCACAUCCGUCCGUUCUUUUGGUUGUUGUUUGUGGGUGAGGAAUCGUCUUUUCUUUUUACGCAGACUAACAUGGGGGGAAGGAGCUCCUGACGCGGAUUGACUUUCAGUGAACCUCUGCUCUGUGGUACAAGUCUGUGGUUAAUAGGGAGGAAAAAGGCGACAGGGAAGACAUGUUGAGGGGGUUUUCGUCUUGAGGUUGCGGUAGGAUGUUGAUGUUGUGCUCUUAAAAAGACACAGCUCCUCGUAGAAAAAAAAAAGCGAGGACAAAUGGAAAUUGUGCGGUAGGUUAAUGCUCAGGAGCCAUUGUUUUGAUCGGUGUUUAUUCAAUUGGUUUGUUAUGAUCUGAAAUAACGUAGGCCUCUUAGGCAGCCCUGCAGUAAAUAAAAACACGGUCAGCAAACGGGCCACCUAUGAAUUAACCCGACAAACCUGCUUGUAUUUUGGGGGACAUUUUUUAAUUGGGCUGUGUUUGGUAGUAGCCUAAGGAAAAAGCAGCGUUCAGGCCUAUUUGUUUUUAAAACUAACGCGGGGUUAGAUUACGUUUCUUAAACCAGAGUUGCAAACAUUUCCAUAGCCUUAUUAACUCUUCAGGGACGGGGGGUUAUACGAAGGCCCAGUAGAUACAGUAACGACUUCUUUGCAGCAUUUAAAGACAAUUUUAACUGCAAAGGGAAAUUGUCCACAGGCUGGCUUUUAAGCACAAAGGUGCACACGUAGUCGAUCCAACCCCCAGUUUAACUCAAUACAGGGGACAAAACAAGAUUUUUAAAUGUUAAUGUCGACCGACGUUGCAUCCAUCAUGCUGCCUGUGUCCCGGGGUCUCAUGGACCGGGAUAGAGAGCUGGACACCAUGGCCGGGAUCCAUCCCAACGCGGGCGGCGCUCCUGCGGUUGUCCGGGGUAUGAAACGCGGAGACCCGGAGCCCGACGGACAGACAACGGCUGCUCUUGUGGACUCGACCGGGGCGGAGUGCAAGCGUCCCCGGAUCGACGGCUCAGGAGGGAUCGGCGAGGUUGGUCAGAACAACGACCCUUUGGCCCUUGGUUACCAUGGCUACCCGUCUCAUAGUCAGGGCUCUCAGGAUAGUGCUGGUGGUCAGGAGGGUCUCGUACCUCCACCUUUCUCCGCAUUCCCUCCUCCUCCACCGCCACCCCCCCAGAACGGCCUGGCACUGGAUUACGGGGGCAGCCUGUAUGCAGCAGGGGCCGUCCAGGGCCCCUUGGAAGCCGGUGGAGCAGCAAACAGUGCUGCCAAUGCUGCAAACAGCCUUAGUGGCCAACAGUCCGAUGGCUCCUCCCAGAUUGACGGUCAGUCGGUUGUUGGCUCAGGAGGCGUAGGUGGUGGAGGGAGCAUUGGGGAUGAUUCAGACGCCAAGGGGACCCCCAAACGCCUUCACGUCUCCAACAUUCCCUUCCGCUUCCGAGAUCCCGACCUACGACAGAUGUUUGGGCAAUAUGGCAAAAUCCUCGACGUGGAGAUAAUUUUCAAUGAGAGGGGAUCCAAGGGCUUCGGUUUUGUAACAUUCGAGACAAGUGCAGAUGCAGAAAGGGCCCGAGAGAAGCUUCAUGGUACGCUGGUGGAAGGACGUAAAAUCGAGGUAAAUAAUGCCACAGCCAGAGUGAUGACAAACAAGAAGAUGACCACCCCUUACUCUAACGGAGAGGGCCUCGCAACUCUGCCAUACGCUGGAUGGAAGUUGAGUCCCAUGGUUGGAGCAAUGUACAGCCCUGAACUCUAUACGGUUCCGGGGUUUCCAUACCCAGCCGCAGCAGCGGCAGCAGCUGUCUCUACCGCCGCAACCUUUCGAGGCGCUCAUCUCCGGGGUCGUGCAAGGCCCGUCUACAGCGCAGUCAGGGCAGCUGUGCCACAGCCUGCCAUCCCUACCUACCCUGGUGUGAUGGCCUAUCAGGAUGGCUUUUACAGUGCAGCUGAUCUCUAUACUAGUGUUUCAGGACAUUAGUGGCAGAUUGUCCCAGGGCGGCUAUGCAGCGUAUCGUUACGCCCAGCCAACUGCGGUAGCAACUCCAGCAGCAGCGGCAGCUGCAGCAGCAGCUUACAGUGACAGCUACGGACGAGUUUACACAGCAGACCCCUACCAUGCUGCGCUUGCCCCAGCUGCCUAUGGUGUUGGAGCCAUGGCCACACUGUACAGGGGGGGCUACAGCAGGUUUGCCCCUUACUAAAGACACUACAUUUCCCAGGAGCUCCCUCUUCCGUUGAAUACUCUGAAAGAACUCCCUCUGUUGUUGUAAAGGUGGACUGCACCCAGUUUCAAAGUGGAGUUGACCACAACAAUGUUAUUUCAGAUCCCACCCCAGAGCAGUCCUACGUUUUCUUAAAUGCGCUACUACAAAAAUACUACAGAAAUAGAGGAAUGCUGUAUAAAGACUGACAGAUGGCCUCUACAUUAAAAAAGAAGAA